RNAcentral lists this transfer RNA (77 nucleotides) under Solirubrobacterales bacterium. RNAcentral describes it as "tRNA-Pro". It matches the Rfam family "tRNA". Rfam says of the family: Transfer RNA (tRNA) molecules are approximately 80 nucleotides in length. Their secondary structure includes four short double-helical elements and three loops (D, anti-codon, and T loops). Lineage: Bacteria; Bacillati; Actinomycetota; Thermoleophilia; Solirubrobacterales. The record is from RNAcentral.
CGGGGCGUGGCGCAGCCUGGUAGCGCGCGGCCUUUGGGUGGCCGAGGUCCCCGGUUCGAAUCCGGGCGCCCCGAUCA